RNAcentral lists this long non-coding RNA (563 nucleotides) under Oryctolagus cuniculus (rabbit). RNAcentral's name for it is "lncRNA (ENSOCUG00000036389.1)". The record is from RNAcentral. Lineage: Eukaryota; Metazoa; Chordata; Mammalia; Lagomorpha; Leporidae.
AGAUGACUCGAACUAGACAGAGGCAGCCCCCUAUGGGAGGGUACGGAUGGCUUGCACCUGUACACAGUGGGAAAAACAAGUCUUUGAGGAUCUGAGCCAGAAGUUUUUCAUGCUGUUCCUUGACUCCAAAUCCAAGAUUGUUCUCUUCGAUGUGGUUGCCAGCAUACUGAUAGAAAAAAGCCUGGAUACACCAGAUCAAUACAUUUAAAAAAAAUACAGAGAAGUUGACCAAGGCCAUGACAUACACACAAGGCCAAACUAGACAAAGAAAUCACCAUUCCUAAUAACAAUGUGGGGAGUGAGGUGAGUGGUAUACACCCAAGAACAAGACAUGACAGGCUAUAAAGCUUACAAGGCCAUUUUCAAGUUAUUUGAUUUCUUCUGCAUUUGAAUUGAAUUUGAAAAAAGUCAGACACCUGGAGUUGUAAAAUGUCAGAAGAGGAACCAAACAUCCAAGCUAGGAUUAUUGGAGGCAAGUUCAUUUUCACUGGACUGAGAAAAUUAUACUUGGAACACCCUCAAAACACUUUGACAAAUAAAGUAGUAUAAUAAACAUAGUAACA